RNAcentral lists this ribosomal RNA (296 nucleotides) under uncultured bacterium. RNAcentral's name for it is "partial 16S ribosomal RNA". It matches the Rfam family "Bacterial small subunit ribosomal RNA", at positions 29 to 353 of the family's 1533-position model. The record is from RNAcentral.
AACGAACGCUGGCGGCAUGCCUAACACAUGCAAGUCGAACGAGACCUUCGGGUCUAGUGGCGCACGGGUGCGUAACGCGUGGGAAUCUGCCCUUGGGUUCGGAAUAACAGUUAGAAAUGACUGCUAAUACCGGAUAAUGUCUUCGGACCAAAGAUUUAUCGCCCAGGGAUGAGCCCGCGUAGGAUUAGCUAGUGGUGAGGUAAAGGCUCACCAAGGCGACGAUCCUUAGCUGGUCUGAGAGGAUGAUCAGCCACACUGGGACUGAGACACGGCCCAGACUCCUACGGGAGGCAGCA